CCCUUAGAUGUUCGGGGCCACACGCGCGCUACACUGAAGGAAUCAGCACGUCUUUCUCCUUGUCCGAAAGGACUGGGUAACCCGCUGAACCUCCUUCGUGCUAGGGAUUGGGGCUUGUAAUUCUUCCCCAUGAACGAGGAAUUCCCAGUAAGCGCGAGUCAUAAGCUCGCGUUGAUUACGUCCCUGCCCUUUGUACACACCGCCCGUCGCUACUACCGAUUGGAUGGUUUAGUGAGAUCCUCGGAUUGGUCCCGGCGCGGCCUCUGGUCGUGCCGGAGUGCCGAAAAGAAUGUCGAACUUGAUCAUCUAGAGGAAGUAAAAGUCGUAACA
Molecule: ribosomal RNA, 330 nt
Filed under: uncultured eukaryote
Lineage: Eukaryota
Description: partial 18S ribosomal RNA
Rfam family: Eukaryotic small subunit ribosomal RNA
Source: RNAcentral